Odontomachus brunneus is the source of this 1116-nucleotide long non-coding RNA. RefSeq lists it as uncharacterized. Lineage: Eukaryota; Metazoa; Arthropoda; Insecta; Hymenoptera; Formicidae. The transcript has 2 exons. The record is from RefSeq and is a predicted model, not a curated record.
AUACAAUCGAGGUGCACUCGUUCGUGAAUUCGUCAGAUGAACGUUCGUAACUCACGCACACCGCAAACGCCAAGGUCGGAGGUUGCGAAAAGUAUCGUCAUCAGUAUACAUGACAUAUACCGAUACUAUUUGUGCGUCAGCUAUAUAACGUAUGCUUGGAGAGAUUCUGCUUGUGACACUCCCCGUAAAUCUUUCCUCUGAAAGAUAUCGAAUUUCGAGGUGAGACUUUAUCCCUGUAGGCUUCGAAGGAUCGACUGCUGAUGCAUACAAAAACAACUCGUGGUGUUUUUCCGAUUUUAUUCCGAGGCGGAUAUCCUCGAGUAUAAAACUCACACGUUUGCAUUGACGAUAUCUUUUGAUUUGCAAAUGACGUUAACGCGGCACACUGAAUACGGUCGAGUGAACAUGGGACUAUCGCGAUCAGCUAAAAUCACAGACUAAAAGUAAAUGUAUACCCUCCGAGAGAAGCAGCCAAGCCAAAAAAUAUCAACGGAAAAAUUUGUCUCGUGAAACUAUGAGUGUCCUACUUUGUACUUCGCGAAUUCGCUCGACAAGUUUCCCUUUUACUUUUAUUUUAUCCAUUACGAUUUUCCGUGUACGAAAUUCGUACACGACUUAUUUUAAUUCUCAUACAUAUUGUUUAUUGUUUCUUAUGUAUACUUCUUAUGUAUAUUGUUUCUUCUUCAUAUCUUAAUAUUAAGUAUAAUUAAUUUAUAUUAGUAAUUAUAUAUUAGUAAUUAUAUUUAUAUCAGUAAUUAUACAGAGCAAGAUCAAUACUAUUCCUAUUAAAUCGCUCUUAAUUUAUUUAUUAUUCACGGGAAACUGACUCAACGCGGUCACGUAUCCACACGUGAAGGUCAUUGGAGCGUGAGCUCUUCUAAUCUUCUCAAAGAGGCGCACAACAGGAUAAUUGGACACGAUCGUGUGAUGUGCUCAUACAUACAAGCAAGCACGAUGACAUGUACACACUUUUUCGAGCAUUGCGACACUGUUGCUUAUUAAGCAAUAAGAAAGCAAUAAGAGAGACGAUGUUUGACAAUAUAUACAUUAUUAGUUAUAACAGAUAUAGAAAAGUGUUAUGAAUUUUUUUUAAUAAUAAUCAUUAUUUAAUUAGCA